This 262-nucleotide ribosomal RNA is filed under the name uncultured Burkholderiales bacterium. RNAcentral describes it as "partial 16S ribosomal RNA". It matches the Rfam family "Bacterial small subunit ribosomal RNA", at positions 524 to 785 of the family's 1533-position model. Lineage: Bacteria; Pseudomonadati; Pseudomonadota; Betaproteobacteria; Burkholderiales. The record is from RNAcentral.
UACGUAGGGUGCAAGCGUUAAUCGGAAUUACUGGGCGUAAAGCGUGCGCAGGCGGUUAUGCAAGACAGAGGUGAAAUCCCCGGGCUCCACCUGGGAACUGCCUUUGUGACUGCAUGGCUAGAGUACGGUAGAGGGGGAUGGAAUUCCGCGUGUAGCAGUGAAAUGCGUAGAUAUGCGGAGGAACACCGAUGGCGAAGGCAAUCCCCUGGACCUGUACUGACGCUCAUGCACGAAAGCGUGGGGAGCAAACAGGAUUAGAUAC